Molecule: long non-coding RNA, 1662 nt
Organism: Oncorhynchus tshawytscha (Chinook salmon)
Lineage: Eukaryota; Metazoa; Chordata; Actinopteri; Salmoniformes; Salmonidae
Source: Ensembl
GGGUUAGGGGGUUACCAGACCGAUAUCACCCAGGGUUAGGGGGUUACCAGACCGAUAUCACCCAGGGUUAGGGGCGUUACCAGACCGAUAUCACCCAGGGUUAGGGGGGCGUUACCAGACCAAACACACCCAGGGUUAGGGGCGUUACCAGACCAAACACACCCAGGGUUAGGGGGUUACCAGACCGAUAUCACCCAGGGUUAGGGGCGUUACCAGACCGAUAUCACCCAGGGUUAGGGGCAUUACCAGACCAAACACACCCAGGGUUAGGGGGCAUUAACAGACCGACAAGACCCAGGGAUAGGGGCGUUACCAGACCAAACACACCCAGGGUUAGGGGCGUUACCAGACCGAUAUCACCCAGGGUUAGGGGCGUUACCAGACCGAUAUCACCCAGGGUUAGGGGUGUUACCAGACCGAUAUCACCCAGGGUUAGGGGCAUUACCAGACCAAACACACCCAGGGUUAGGGGUGUUACCAGACCAAACACACCCAGGGUUAGGGGCGUUACCAGACCGAUAUCACCCAGGGUUAGGGCGUUACCAGACCGAUAUCACCCAGGGUUAGGGGCAUUAACAGACCGACAAGACCCAGGGAUAGGGGCGUUACCAGACCAAACACACCCAGGGUUAGGGGCGUUACCAGACCGAUAUCACCCAGGGUUAGGGGCAUUACCAGACCAAACACACCCAGGGUUAGGGGCAUUAACAGACCGACAAGACCCAGGGAUAGGGGCGUUACCAGACCAAACACACCCAGGGUUAGGGGUGUUACCAGACCGAUAUCACCCAGGGGUUAGGGCGUUACCAGACCGAUAUCACCCAGGGUUAGGGGCGUUACCAGACCGAUAUCACCCAGGGUUAGGGGCGUUACCAGACCGAUAUCACCCAGGGUUAGGGGCGUUACCAGACCGAUAUCACCCAGGGUUAGGGGUGUUACCAGACCAAACAACACUUAACAGAGAGCUAUUCUAGAAGGAAAAAGAGGUGGUCAGUGUGGGACAGCCCAGGUUAAGGAGGGGUUCAAGUUAGGAUCAUUAAGACUGUAGGCUUCAUUAACUUACACGUAGGAAGUACAUGUGAUCAAACAAUUCAAUAAUGGUACAGGUUAACACUUAAAAAUAACUAUAGACAGGACCUUUCUAAGGCUGUUCUAGAUCCGAUACAGUAAACAACAGUAAUUCAAACAGAUCAUAUAUUAUCAACAGUUAACAGUUGAUUCAACAGAUCAUAUAUUAUCAACAGUUAACAGUUGUAUUUCUUUAAGCCCUUUAAAAAGCGAACCCUCCGCAAUCAAAGGCAUCAAAGUCGGAGUCUCCUCCCUCGAAGUCGAAGCUGUUGAAUUGUGGGGGGUUGUCUACGUCCUGACUACAAUGGAAGGACCCACCCGACCCCCCUCCCAUCUCUGAGAAGCUCCCUGCCCCUCCACCGUGGCCCAGCGGGCCCAGAUCCUGCAGGCCGGAGGCUCUGGAGGUCAGAGGGGAGGAGGGAGAGCAGGACUGGAGGUAGCCCAGAGCGGAGGAGGCUGCUGCCCCUCCCAUCAGCAGACACACCGCCCUCACCGCCCGCGCGUCGCUGCUGUUACCGUGGCGAAGACAGUCUGACGUACGGUGGGGCGGAGCUACUGACGCCACGCUACGCACAGACCGCACUGACUGUCUGU